UGCUGGAAAAUUUGGAAGAUGAAAAACAGUUUAGAAAAUGGUCUGCCCCUGGGUAAAAUAAGAAAGCAACUGUGAUGAAACUAUUUCUAGUGUAUUCUUUUUAUCCUGUUGAACUCAGCACCAUUUUCUAUCGCACGGCACCCCGAGGACUCCCAGAUUGCAGAAGGAUCUGUUUCCCACAGAGGACUGAAUUAUGGCAUGUUGGAGACGUGGUUCUUCCUCCAGGUAUUUGUUGGUUCCUGCUAAAAAAGUCAAGACGUCCCAACCAAACAACCCAGGUUGCUCUGGCAGUAAGCCUCCCAGCUCAGCAAGUCCAGCACUGAAUAUACGCAAGAAGACAACAGGCCCCCGGAUGAAGUAGCGUGCAGAGGCUGAGCACCUGGAAAUGUUGCCGAUGAUGCCAAGAAAAUAUUGCUGAGAGACUGAACAUCAAACUUCAGCAUUCGUUUUAAUUUUACAGUUAAUCCUCUUUAUAGUCUCCAUAUUCUUUUGAUACUCUCCGUGAU
This is a long non-coding RNA of Lemur catta (Ring-tailed lemur), 506 nucleotides long. RefSeq lists it as uncharacterized. The record is from RefSeq and is a predicted model, not a curated record. Lineage: Eukaryota; Metazoa; Chordata; Mammalia; Primates; Lemuridae. The transcript has 3 exons.